This 68-nucleotide transfer RNA is filed under the name Cryptocelis alba. RNAcentral describes it as "tRNA-Tyr". Lineage: Eukaryota; Metazoa; Platyhelminthes; Polycladida; Cryptocelidae. The record is from RNAcentral.
AGUGGGGUAUUCUAAAAUUUUAAGAGGUUGGAUUGUAGCUCCGAAGAUGAAUAAUAUAUCCCCCACAA